ACCUGGUUGAUCCUACCAACAGUCAUAUGUUUGUCUCAAAGACUAAGCCAUUACAUGUGAAACUGCAAAUGGCUCAUUAAAUCAGUUAUAGUUUGUUUGAUGUAUCUACUACUCAGAUAAUCGUAGUAAUUCUAGAGCUAAUACAUGCAACAAACCCCGACUUCUGAAAGGGAUGCAUUUAUUAGAUAAAAGGUCAACACGAGCUAUGCCUAUUGCUCUAAUGAUUCAUGAUAACUAGAUGGAUCGCAGGGGCCUUUGUGCCGGCUAUGCAUCAUUCAAAAUUCUACCCUAUCAACUUUCGAUGGUAGGAUAGUGGCCUACUAUGGUGGUGAUGGGUGAUGGAGAAUUAGGGUUCGAUUCUGGAGAUGGAGCCUAAGAAAUGGCUACCACAUCCAAAGAAGGCAGCAAAUGCGCAAAUUACCCAAUCCUGACACAAGAAGGUAGUGACAAUAAAUAACAAUAUCGGGCUCAAUAAAUCUCUUAAUGCGGAUCGAUUGGAGGGCAAGUCUGGUGCCAGCAGCUACAGUAAUUCCAGCUCCAAUAGUGUAUAUUUAAGUUGUUGCAGUUAAAAAGCUAGUUAGUUGAAACUAGGGUUGGGUCAUCCGGUCUACCUCACGAUGAGCACCAGUCUACUCAUCCCUAUUACCGAUGAUGCAUUCUUGGACUUAAUUACCUGGGACAUUCUUCUGGCACUGUUACUUUGAAGAAAUUAGAGUGCUCAAAGCAGGCCUACGCUUGUAUACAUUAGCAUGGGAUAACAUCAUAGGAUUUCGAUCCUAUUGUGUUGGCCUUCAGGAUCAGAGUAAUGAUUAACAGGGAUAGUAGGGGGCAUUCAUAUUUCAUAGUCAAAGGUGAAAUUCUUGGAUUUAUGAAAGAAGAACAACUGCAAAAUCAUUUGCCAAGGAUGUUUUCAUUAAUCAAGAUGAAAGUUUAGGGCUCGAAGAUGAUUAGAUACCGUCUUAGUCUCAACCAUAAAUUGAUGCCGACCAAGGAUCGAUGGAUGUUACUUUUAGGACUCUGUCGGCACCUUAUAAGAAAUCAAAGUCUUUGGGUUCCAGGGGGAGUAUGGCCUCAAGGCUGAAACUUAAAGGAAUUGACAGAAGGGCAUCGCCAGGAGUGGAGCUUGUGGCCUAAUUUGCUUAACAUGGGGAAACUUACCAGGUCCAGACAUAGUAAGGAUUGACAGACUGAGAGCUCUUUCUUGAUUCUAUGGGUGGUGGUGCAUGGCCGUUCUUAGUUGGUAGAACAAUUUGUCUGGUUAAUUCCAUUAACGAAUGAGACCUCAGCAUGCUAACUAGAUAUACGGAGGUGAUCCUUCGUGGCUAGCUUUUUAGAGGGACUAUGGUCGCUUAGGCCAAGGAAGUUUGAGACAAUAAUAGGUCUGUGAUGCCCUUAGAUGUUUUGGGCUGCACGUGCGCUACAUUGAUGUAUUCAAUGAGUCUAUAGCCUUGGCUGACAGGCCCGGGUAAUCUUUGAAAUUUCAUCAUAAUGGGGAUAGAUCAUUACAAUUAUUAGUCUUCAACGAAGAAUUCCUAGUAAACGCGAGUCAUCAGCUCGCGUUGACUAUGUCCCUGCCCUUUGUACACACCACCCGUCACUCUUACCAAUUGAAUGGUCUGGUGAAGUGUUCAAAUUUCGGUGAGCUAGACGGUUCACCACCCACGACGUCACGAGAAGUCCACUGAACCUUAACAUUUAGAAGAAGGAGAAGUCAUAACAAGGUUUUUCUAGGUGAACCUGUGGAAG
This 1746-nucleotide ribosomal RNA is filed under the name Durio zibethinus. RNAcentral describes it as "SSU rRNA". It matches the Rfam family "Eukaryotic small subunit ribosomal RNA". Lineage: Eukaryota; Viridiplantae; Streptophyta; Magnoliopsida; Malvales; Malvaceae. The record is from RNAcentral.